Molecule: long non-coding RNA, 359 nt
Filed under: Lotus japonicus
Lineage: Eukaryota; Viridiplantae; Streptophyta; Magnoliopsida; Fabales; Fabaceae
Description: long non-coding RNA (LJAP_LNC000668)
Source: RNAcentral
UGGGUUGGAUUUUGUGAAUUAUCAUCUACGAACCUGAACCAACCCAAUCCAACAAUUUUUGGGUUGGAUUGGAUGGCCGAUUGAUUGGAUCAUUAUAUUAAAAUAAAAUAAAAAUCUGGAAUAUUGAAAAAUAUUAGAAAAUAAGUACUCAAAGUCUCUAACAUGCAAUUACAUCAUAAGUUCAUAACUACCGUCUACACACAUCUAUACAACAACACAUAACUAAACAACUAAAACAAGUACUUCAAGUAUUUAAAUAUGACAAGAAAACAAACAAAUUAGUCUCCAAGUCUCCUAAAAAUCACUCUAGUAAUAGGACUCCAAGUCUCCAUAAAUUACAUACCCUACUAGUAGGUUAG